This 394-nucleotide ribosomal RNA is filed under the name uncultured bacterium. RNAcentral describes it as "bacterial SSU rRNA". It matches the Rfam family "Bacterial small subunit ribosomal RNA", at positions 505 to 898 of the family's 1533-position model. The record is from RNAcentral.
GUGUCAGCAGCCGCGGUAAUACAGAGGGUGCUAGCGUUAAUCGGAAUUACUGGGCGUAAAGGGUGUGUAGGUGGUUAGAUAAGUCAGAUGUAAAAGCCCUGGGCUCAACCUAGGAAUGUCGUUUGAAACUGUCUAGCUAGAGUACUAUAGAGGGCAGUGGAAUUUCCGGUGUAGCGGUGAAAUGCGUAGAUAUCGGAAGGAACAUCAGUGGCGAAGGCGACUGCCUGGAUAGUUACUGACACUGAGACACGAAAGCAUGGGUAGCAAACAGGAUUAGAUACCCUGGUAGUCCAUGCUGUAAACGAUGAGAACUUGCUGUUGGGGACGAUUAGUUUCUAGUAGCGCAGCUAACGCGUUAAGUUUUCCGCCUGGGGAGUACGGUCGCAAGAUUAAA